GGGGGCGCACCGGUUUCGACCUGGGAGUCCUGCUUGGGACGGCAUGCCGAGGAUGGUUCGUUGGCCUCGUAAAACACCGGACCAAAACAUCAACUGCUACCGAAGAGUUGGCUCUCGCGGCUUAAUUGCCUGAGACGUCUGUCAGGUGACGCCUGCUGGCUUGACAGACGCUAUUAGCAGGUUGGGUCGAUGGCGGAGUUCGCGCGUCGUCGGCCGACAUUUUCAUGCGAGCUGGAUCUCCGGGUUGGCCGUCAGCCCUUUACCCGGAGCUCGAGACCAAAGGCUGGCUAAGCAUGUAGUUCGUUCCUUGUAGAAUUGCCAGGGACAGGGGUUCAACUCCCCUCGCCUCCACCA
RNAcentral lists this transfer-messenger RNA (354 nucleotides) under Verrucomicrobiia. RNAcentral describes it as "UBA6176 sp008933025 Standard tmRNA". It matches the Rfam family "transfer-messenger RNA". Rfam says of the family: Bacterial tmRNA, also known as 10Sa RNA or SsrA, is named for its dual tRNA and mRNA-like properties. Lineage: Bacteria; Pseudomonadati; Verrucomicrobiota. The record is from RNAcentral. RNAcentral also lists the same sequence under 1 other name.